Long non-coding RNA from Oncorhynchus nerka (sockeye salmon), 682 nucleotides. RefSeq lists it as uncharacterized. The transcript is spliced from 6 exons. The record is from RefSeq and is a predicted model, not a curated record. NCBI's taxonomy places the organism in Eukaryota, Metazoa, Chordata, Actinopteri, Salmoniformes, Salmonidae.
AGCAGUGAAAAAGAAUACCCACAGACAAGGCACGGGUGGUGGGUCACCAAAGGCUGACCUUACCCCAGCAGAGGACAUGGCCUUGGAGCUAAAUAAAGGCAGGCCCGUCUUAGAGGGGAUCCCUGGGGGAAAGAGACGAGCAUAGGUUCCUCCCAAGAUGCCACCCGCUUCAUUCAAGUGCCUGGCAGCACUGUGUUCCUGUUAGAGCCACCAGCACAAGCACCAGACGAUGCUGAUCCAGGUGAAGGCCCCAGUGCAGCAGCAACAGCACAUGAUGGAGACUAUGAUGAGGAGGAGACCAUCUCUCUGGAUUCCAGAAGGCAUGAGGACCCAGAUGUUAUACAGUGGGAAAACCAGCCUGGCAACAUAGUGCGUAUUAAUAAAAGGACACCACAUCCUGCCAAAUUCCAGCUGCGCUAAUUGUAUUGUGUUCACAGAGCUCACAAGCUAUCAGAAAGUUGUAUGGCAACCACCUCCGGCGCCAAAUAGAACUGGCAGACAUAGACAUUCAGUACAAGAAGAAAAAGAUGGAAAAUCUUGCACUGGAGUCCGAAAUAAGAGGACAAUUAGGAAACUGGACCUUGAAAUAAAAAAACUUGAGAGGGAGCUCCAAGAAGAUGACACAGCUCAAAAUAAAAAUUAGCAAUCAGUACAACCAAGUCAUCGUUAUAAGGCAUCACCC